RNAcentral lists this long non-coding RNA (385 nucleotides) under Physcomitrium patens. Its description in RNAcentral is "long non-coding RNA (PPAT_LNC014087)". The record is from RNAcentral. Lineage: Eukaryota; Viridiplantae; Streptophyta; Bryopsida; Funariales; Funariaceae.
CCACCAACUUUAGGCAAGCAAUGAGGGAAAAAGACUUUUGUUUUGAUGAUGCGCUUUAUUGCUGGAGUUGGCUUUUUCAAAACUAAUCACCAAAAAAGAACCAUGGAAAUAGAGGCAUACUUUUUGUCUGAUACCACAAAUGAAGAAGAAAGAAGGAAUUGGCUGGUUGUCAACUCUUGGUUAAGGACUGGGUCAUAAAAGAGCCCAGCCAAAAUUCUACAGUGAGAAUCACAGCCUCACUGCCAAAUAGUCCAUCAAAAUGUGGGUUCAUUGUAUGGGAACAGUCAACAUCCUUUGAGAAAUGGAAAACUGUGAUCAUCCUUUGGUGUACCUCAAGUUGCCACCUUUGGGUACCCAACAAGGUUCCCAUCAUUAAAAGGAUGUU